UGUGCACAAGGUACACUUUCAACAUGCAAAUAUACGAUCAUUCAUUUCCAUAAGUUCUGGCACCCCAUGUUUUAGGCAUAAGGGUUUGAGACAUUGCCAAAAGCAAGCAAACAACUGUCACAUCCUCACUGCAGAUAGGGAGACAAUUCAAGUAUUCAAACUUUGAAACAGAACACAGUCAAGCUCCAUUAAAAUGAAGGCCCUGGUUUUCUGCACAUUGCUGAUUCUUGUCACCAUGUUGAUCCACAAGGGAGAAGCCCAUCAAUGUCCAGGUGAUCUGACCUACUACCAUGAGUGUCGGCCAUGUAACCAGUACUGUGAGAUGGGUGAUCCCAGUGAACCCUGCAAACUGGAGUGUCGCCCAGGGUGUGCCUGUCCCAAGGGACAGUUCAGAAUACCAGGGACAAAUGACUGCCGAGAAUCUUGUGAUGAUAGCGACGAUACAAUAUUAGCAUUGCUUCAUCAAUAAGCUCUGUUGAGUAAGACCUGCCUGUUCAAUAUCAGAUAUUAUAUAAAAUCAUUUUAAUGAAAAUAUAACCAUCAUAAUAAUCAUAAUAAUUAUAGCAGGUUUAAUCAUCUUGCUCAGGACAGAAGGUGACACUGAAAAUAAGGAACAUGCCUGUCUUCAACAGACAAUGGAAUACAUCAGACUAUGGCUAAGAAUGACCAGGAAAAUGUCAUGAAUUAAAUACAGCCUUUGCUCUGCCUUUUAUUUUAGAAAUAUAGUUAUUUCAGUCUAAUAACUGACUGUCACACAAAUCCAAACUUGAGUCAAAUCCAUACCAAUAUUUGGGUUAAAAAAUAGUACAUACUCCCUUUUGUCAUGAAGCCCAUUUCUGAAAGAUGUUCCUUGAUCAGUGGAUGCCCAGAAAUAGAGAGAGAACAUGUAUAGUGCUUAUAAAUUGAAAUGACUAACAAGCUGCACAAAAUAUGUUGUAAUAAAUCAAAUGGAAUAUUAUGCUUGAACUGUUACAGGUUUGAAUAUAUAAACCAAACAUACAUCAGAGAAUCUUGAAUAGCUAUAAUGAUGAUAAUGACUGCGACAUACUACAUUAUUUAAGAGCAUUCAAAUAAAUCAUAUAAUUUCCCUUAGCAAAAUAACAGGCCUGCUGAAAAUGUUGCUUCAAUAAAAUUUUUCUUGCAAACUCCUCCAAACUCGAUGUCAUAAACUUUAAGUUUGCAGCCAUUUUGGUUACAAAUAAAUGUUAUCUGUGGCCAGACAAAGGUUUUCUGUGUCUCUAGCUAUCCAUCUACUCCAUAGCUCUCUCAGUAUCUAUCUAAUAGUUACUGUAUCUAUCUACAUGUGUCUAUCUAUUUAUUUAUCUAAUUAUCUAUCUAUAAAUAAUUAUAUAAGUAGAUAAACAAGUAGUCCAUCAAGACAAUCAUAUAUUAUGAAGGUAGUAAACAUUUAGAAAACUAGUAUAGAGAUCAAGCUUGCUAAUUAUGUAAGUGCACCUGCCUUUAAUAUCCACUAAACUUGUCAUUAAAUAUCUGCAUGA
Long non-coding RNA from Lingula anatina, 1499 nucleotides. RefSeq lists it as uncharacterized. NCBI's taxonomy places the organism in Eukaryota, Metazoa, Brachiopoda, Lingulata, Lingulida, Lingulidae. The record is from RefSeq and is a predicted model, not a curated record.